Molecule: ribosomal RNA, 292 nt
Filed under: uncultured bacterium
Lineage: Bacteria
Description: partial 16S ribosomal RNA
Rfam family: Bacterial small subunit ribosomal RNA
Source: RNAcentral
GUGUCAGCAGCCGCGGUAAUACAGAGGGUGCAAACGUUGUUCGGAAUUACUGGGCGUAAAGCGCGUGUAGGCGGCAGCGUAAGUCGGGCGUGAAAUCCCAUGGCUCAACCAUGGAAGUGCACCCGAAACUGCGCAGCUAGAGUCCUGGAGAGGAAGGUGGAAUACUUGGUGUAGAGGUGAAAUUCGUAGAUAUCAAGUGGAACACCGGUGGCGAAGGCGGCCUUCUGGACAGUGACUGACGCUGAGACGCGAAAGCGUGGGGAGCAAACAGGAUUAGAAACCCUUGUAGUCC